Non-coding RNA from Cantharellus anzutake, 80 nucleotides. The record is from the annotation of a RefSeq genome assembly. NCBI's taxonomy places the organism in Eukaryota, Fungi, Basidiomycota, Agaricomycetes, Cantharellales, Hydnaceae.
GCCUCAAUAGCUCAGUUGGGAGAGCGCUACACUGAAGCACCUCAAUGUAUAGGUCCCCCGUUCAAACCGGGGUUGGGGCA